Molecule: long non-coding RNA, 1122 nt
Organism: Populus euphratica (Euphrates poplar)
Lineage: Eukaryota; Viridiplantae; Streptophyta; Magnoliopsida; Malpighiales; Salicaceae
Exons: 3
Source: RefSeq, a predicted model, not a curated record
AGAAGAAGAAGAAGAAGAAGAAGAAAACUUCAAAAUGAAACCUCAACGUUGAUGGUGUCCUUGAUUUACUUCAAAUAGUAAGGAAAGGAAGACUUGAUAAAGAUGUGGGUCUGUUUGGUGCCGAGGACACCCGAGAAGCUCCUUUACUUCUAUUGAUUCAUAAAUUUACUCCAGAGCUCCAACCUUUGCUUAGCAUGCAAAUUUGGUGCUGCUACUUAAAUCAACAAUCUUUAGUUGAAGAAAAGACAGCUUAAUUACCCUCCCUCUCUCUCCCUCCCUCCCCCCUCUCUCAUGCGUUGACCAUCUAUUAUUGACACUAUAGCAAAAAUGGAGUGGUUUUGAGUGCUGAACCUAAACCCAUUAACUUUGGAGUGAGCCACCGAAUCAACCAAGAACUUUCAGGUCACCAAAACUGUCGAAGUCCACAUUAAGGGGCCCACUGCAACUGUUUAUCCAGAGAGAUAGGCUGGUAUAAAAAAGGACGCACACAACCCUCUCAAGAAUCUGUUCCAUGAAAGAAAAGAUAACAGUAUGUCCAAAGUCUGGAAUCCCAAAAUUUUCCUUCAUUUUCUCAAGAACCAAACGUCAUUUUUAGCCGAACAACCUGUCUAUGUCUCCCCUCUCUGGUUUUUCUCUGUUGGAGUUGUUUCUACUUUGCAGUCUAGAGAUCUGGGGCCUGAGAUUUCUCCAUAUGCUUCGGACCGCCCCCUAACAAUAAAUGCAUACAAAGUCAUAAACAAGGGUGAUAGGUGUUUGGAGGUUACAGCAGUGGUAGACUUUGACUCAAAUUUUUCAUCCUAGAGUAUUUGCAACUGACUUUGGCAUGGGAGAAAGAACAAAGCAAUGGACAGACAAGAGGUCCCCCUUCCUCAGCUAUAUACAAACAUCAUGCUUACGUUAAUUAGAUACAAGUAUUAUCUACCCUAUAAAGCACUGCUUCUGAGAACCAGCAAGAGAAUCAGGGAAAACAGGGCAUGAAAAGUACACUUGAAUCCGAAUUUCAGACUGAGUUAACCUCGCAACUUCCUUCAGUAGACAUAAUUUCAAGUUCUGCCCACCAGAGGGGUGAUAAUUUUGGUGUUGCUCCAUCAGGUCCCACUGAUGUGAUCUCUUUUAACUUGG